RNAcentral lists this ribosomal RNA (253 nucleotides) under uncultured bacterium. RNAcentral describes it as "partial 16S ribosomal RNA". It matches the Rfam family "Bacterial small subunit ribosomal RNA", at positions 1066 to 1320 of the family's 1533-position model. The record is from RNAcentral.
CGUGAGAUGUUGGGUUAAGUCCCGCAACGAGCGCAACCCCUGUCCCAUGUUGCCAGCAUUAAGUUGGGGACUCAUGGGAGACUGCCGGCGUCAAGCCGGAGGAAGGUGGGGAUGACGUCAAGUCAUCAUGCCCCUUAUGUCCUGGGCUGCACACGUGCUACAAUGGCCGGUACAAUGGGCUGCGAUGCCGCGAGGCGGAGCGAAUCCCAUAAAACCGGCCCCAGUUCGGAUCGAAGGCUGCAACUCGCCUUCG